UCACUGAUUUUGAAUGCUUGUUUUGUUGUCGUAGGGCUGGGAGGAGGACCUGCUGCCUGAGGAGAGGGAGGUUCCUCUGCUAAACCUCUACCUUACCACCAAGAGAGUGGAGGACAUCGCCCUGAGGCUCGUCUCCCUGCGCCAGGCCUUCACUACCCUGCUUGGUUCCACCCUGAGCAGGAACAAUC
This is a long non-coding RNA of Oncorhynchus gorbuscha (pink salmon), 188 nucleotides long. RefSeq lists it as uncharacterized. The record is from RefSeq and is a predicted model, not a curated record. The transcript has 3 exons. Lineage: Eukaryota; Metazoa; Chordata; Actinopteri; Salmoniformes; Salmonidae.